Molecule: ribosomal RNA, 253 nt
Filed under: uncultured bacterium
Lineage: Bacteria
Description: partial 16S ribosomal RNA
Rfam family: Bacterial small subunit ribosomal RNA
Source: RNAcentral
UACGGAGGAUCCGAGCGUUGUCCGGAAUUACUGGGUGUAAAGGGAGCGUAGGCGGGAAAGCAAGUCAGAAGUGAAAAUUAUGGGCUUAACCCAUAACCUGCUUUUGAAACUGUUUUUCUUGAGUGAGUCAGAGGCAAGCGGAAUUCCAAGUGUAGCGGUGAAAUGCGUAGAUAUUAGGAGGAACACCAGUGGCGAAGGCGGCUUGCUGGACGACAACUGACGCUGAGGCACGAAAGCGUGGGGAUCGAACAGG